CCUACGGGAGGCAGCAGUGGGGAAUAUUGGGCAAUGGGCGCAAGCCUGACCCAGCAAAGCCGCGUGAAGGAAGAAGGCUCUCGGGUUGUAAACUUCUUUUCUCAGGGACGAAGCAAGUGACGGUACCUGAGGAAUAAGCCACGGCUAACUAAGUGCCAGCAGCCGCGGUAAUACGUAGGUCGCAAGCGUUAUCCGGAUUUACUGGGUGUACAGGGCGUGUAGGCGGGAAAGCAAGUCAGAUGUGAAAACCAUGGGCUCAACCUGUGGCCUGCAGUUGAAACUGUUUGCCUUGAGUACUGGAGAGGCAGACGGAAUGCCUAGUGUAGCGGUGAAAUGCGUAGAUAUUAGGAGGAACACCAGUGGCGAAGGCGGUCUGCUGGACACCAACUGACGCUGAGGCGCGAAAGCGUGGGGAGCAAACAGGAUUAGAUACCCUUGUAGUC
This 443-nucleotide ribosomal RNA is filed under the name uncultured bacterium. RNAcentral's name for it is "partial 16S ribosomal RNA". It matches the Rfam family "Bacterial small subunit ribosomal RNA", at positions 338 to 795 of the family's 1533-position model. The record is from RNAcentral.